This 253-nucleotide ribosomal RNA is filed under the name uncultured bacterium. Its description in RNAcentral is "partial 16S ribosomal RNA". It matches the Rfam family "Bacterial small subunit ribosomal RNA", at positions 524 to 776 of the family's 1533-position model. The record is from RNAcentral.
UACAGAGGUCUCAAGCGUUGUUCGGAUUCAUUGGGCGUAAAGGGUGCGUAGGUGGCAUGGUAAGUCGGAUGUGAAAUCCCGGGGCUCAACCCCGGAACUGCAUUCGAUACUGCUGCGCUAGAGUACUGGAGAGGAGAUUGGAAUUUACGGUGUAGCAGUGAAAUGCGUAGAUAUCGUAAGGAAGACCAGUGGCGAAGGCGGAUCUCUGGACAGUUACUGACACUGAGGCACGAAGGCCAGGGGAGCAAACGUG